RNAcentral lists this long non-coding RNA (336 nucleotides) under Carica papaya (papaya). RNAcentral describes it as "long non-coding RNA (CPAP_LNC012133)". The record is from RNAcentral. Lineage: Eukaryota; Viridiplantae; Streptophyta; Magnoliopsida; Brassicales; Caricaceae.
AGGGCCACUCAGUCCCUCCCCAGCACAAUCCAGUUCUUCUUCUACGGGACCCAGUUCCAUCAAUGAUGGACCCAAGCUACAUUGAGAAGUAUAAGAGAUUAAACUCAUCUACUUUUAUAGGGACAUCUUCUUUUGAAGAGACCGAAUUGGUUAGCUGAAACAGAGAAUACCUUCGCGACUCUUGGGGUGCUUCUCGAACAUAAUGUUAUACUUAUCACCUACAUGCUUGCGGGAGAGGCACUUGGGAACAGUUCCUGAUGGCCUUCAAUGCAGAGUACAACCUCCGACAUUUGAAGGAGAUGAAGUCUGCACACCUAGUCUAAUGUGAGAUGACUA